AUGAACUUCUGUCUGUUACUUAAACACAUUUCCAAGCUGCAUGACGAGCAAAUCUCACGAGAGACUAGAUACAUGAUCUCCAAAUAUGGCUGGUCGACCACCAAUGAUGUGGGCAUGUCAGACAACCAGCAUACCCCGAUUUGGAAGGACAUCAUGAAAGGCCUCACCCUUUUCGGGGACUCUACCAGGGUCAGCAUCGGUAAUGGAGUCACUACCCCCUUCUGGCUAGAUCUUUGGCUCCCUCACUCAUCCCAAACCCUAGCCCAACAAUUCCCGGCCCUGUUUUCUCACUACAACCGAGUCCACACUUCGGUGGCACGCGCUUUGGCCUCGAACCUAACCUUGGACCUAACCCCUAGGCUAUCUCACGCAGCCGAUUGCGAACUGCUUGAACUACGCACUAUUUUGGCCAUGGUAAACUUGAAUUUGCAGGUAGCUGACAGGAGAACUACAAGGGAUGCUGGGAAACCUUUCACCGCUACGCUUGCAUACCACGCGGUUUGGACGGCAAAACCCACAUACACGCUCGCCCCGGCCAUUUGGCAAAACUACGCCCCAAAUAAAUGCCAGCUAUUCCUCUGGCUUGCACGCAAGGACCGCCUCUUCACGAAUGAGCGACGCUUCAGACGUGGCAUUUCCACUUCGGCCGCGUGCCCCUUCUGCGACCACGGCGAAUCCAUCAACCAUCUACUCUUCGGGUGCCAGCACCUCGCUCCUCUUUGGGAGGAGCUUGACAGCCUAUGUCCAGAUGCACCGCAGGGGCUGCUCCAAGCAUGGGAGGGUGAAUGGCACAACGGAACUAGAUCAACAGUUCUGCUGGCCGUUCUUUGGAACAUCUGGAAGAGAAGGAACGCCAAGGUUUUUCGGAACAUUCAACUUGGGCUUCAUGAUGUUGCAGGCUCCGCUGCGGAUGAUCUUAAACUUUGGUCCCACCGCUGUAAUAAUGUUCAGAAGCAAAUUAGGCUCCGGGACUGGGGCUCCAUGUUGUUUCACCUUGCCGGGAGAUUAUAG
Molecule: ribosomal RNA, 1011 nt
Filed under: Triticum aestivum (bread wheat)
Lineage: Eukaryota; Viridiplantae; Streptophyta; Magnoliopsida; Poales; Poaceae
Description: partial small subunit ribosomal RNA
Source: RNAcentral